This 4743-nucleotide long non-coding RNA is filed under the name Sus scrofa (pig). RNAcentral describes it as "lncRNA (ENSSSCG00060077386.1)". The record is from RNAcentral. Lineage: Eukaryota; Metazoa; Chordata; Mammalia; Artiodactyla; Suidae.
CUGCUGGCUACACCACAGCCAGAGCAACUGGGAUCUGAGCUGCAUCUGCAACCUUCACCACAGCUCAUGGCAACACCGGAUCCUUAACCCACUGAGUGAGAUCAGGGACCAAAGCCGAGUUGUCACGGAUACUAGUUGAGUUUGCUAACCGCUGAGCCAUGAUGGGAACUCCCCAACACUUCAAUUUUAAACGCUUCAGGCUGUGUCUCCUAAUAACAAGGGCCUUCUCCUCAUAGCCACAGUGACUACAUUCGAAACAUUUAACAUUGAUCCAAUAUCAUUCAAUAAAGAAGUCAAGAAAAAUUUCCCAUUUUCCCCAGCAUGGUCCUUAUAAUAUAUAUAAUAUGUAUUAACAUCUAUAUUAAGUCAGAAUUCUCUCCAGGUAUAUACACUGCAGUGUUAUCAUGUCUGGUGAUUUUCUAUUUUCUCCCUUCUCUCCACACUUAUUAGCUGGCAUUCUUUUGUAUUCUUUCCCCCCAUCACCACCACUGUUCUUUCAGAUGCUCAAAAUAACCCGGAUUUGUUCAGUAGGAACCCCCAUAGUCUGGUUUCUAUAUAAUUUUGACAUCAUCUCAUUGAUCUUUGAACACUCUCUUACUUUCUGGCACAAGUGGUUCUAGGCUCGCUUGUACUCUUCCUGUUUUAGACCUAAAAUCAGCUAUUUCUCCAAGGAGCCUCUGGUUCUUUUAGACGAAGAAAGAUAUUAAGAAUCAAAUAUCUGGCUUCUACAUGUGCUCAUUGCUAGCAGAUUAUCAUUAUUUCUAGAUCCUUUCAGUGCAUAGAGCCAAGAAACACAUUUUUCAAGAAAUCAUGAAGUCAUACUGAUACCUCCAUUUCAAAUCCAAUAUCACAGAAAUCCUUUUCUUCCCUCAUUUUAUAUCUUCUCCCAAAGUGAGAAGUCUAGUUUCCAAAAAGUUUAAGAUAUUUUCUCAUUUGCUGUAUGCUUCAAUGCACACAGAGUAACCUCAGUAUUAUUUAUGACACAAAUAAAACCUAAGUAAAAUGAAAUCUUUAUCUAAAGUUCUUUCUGUUCACAAAAUAUAUUCUAUGAAGCUAUAUUAAAAAGUACUUGAACUAAUUCCAUUUUGUAUGUAGUUAUAUUUGCUGUACAAUUUGAUAUGCGACUAGGUUCAUUUAUUUCUGUUUAUAUUCAAUUCUAAUGUUUGCCCUUUUAAAUUUUGGAUUUCAUUUUAUUUUUUCGAAUGUGUAUGAUGUUUACAUGGUUCAAAAGUCAAAACUGUAUAAAACAGCAAAAGCUCAGAAAACACUCACUCCAUUCUUAUCCUUUCUACCCUUAUCAACUGUAUCUUUCCCAGGUGGCUAUGUUUGUGGCUUUGCAGGUUAUUCUUCACAUAUUUACAUUGGCAAAUAUAACAAAAUAGUUUCUUUGUUAUUAUUAUUAUUAUAUAUUUUGAAAUUUAAGAGAGUGUAUAUUUUUAUUAUGGUGGUUACCUUUCUACUACUACUUUGUGGGUUUUUUUGUUUUUAUGGUCAUAAUUCCCUUCCCUUACAUCGCCUCCUACGAUUGCUUUAGACUUCCAACUGGUAUCUUUGACUCCUCCUUUGACUUCUAUCAUGCAUUACCUGUAAGCCUUGAUCAAUGGUCUUAUUUGACUUUUCCUUUCUCUCCUCCAGGGUUUUCAGCUGCUAUUUCUAAUGUAUAAGAAUAUUUGCUAUUUGUGUGCUAUUCUUCCACUUCUCCCCAUCUGUGUCGAAGUCUUAGACCUACAAUUAAGGACAAUCAUGGAUCAUUGUCAGUGCUUUUGCUGUUGUUUCCCAGUCAUCUCUUAAUAGGAUACAGGUCAUCAUCCAGGAGAUUUCUUAGGAUUGGAUCCUGAUUAUAUAUAUAUAUUCUGUCUUCUUGAAUCUUUAAAGCUACCUGCCUAUAAUCUUGAUAUUUAAAGGACAGCUGGGCUAGAUAAUACAACCUCGUUUUUAAACGUGGAAAUGGAAACAAUCUGAGUGACCAACGAUCAGGGAUUGUAUAAACCAGUAAAUUAUGCUGUUAAAAAAUGAAAGCCUGGUCUAUAUAGCCAUUGUACAUGCUACAAACACUGUAGAAAAAAUAUAAAAUGAUAUAUAAAACCUAGGAUGAUCAAAUUUGUGUUUUUAAAGUGUAAGGAUGCUAUAAAUGAGUGUGCAAGUGUGUUUAGCAAACAGGGUGUGAUACAUAAGGAAGUUAACUGUAAUUUCGCUGCUGAACAGAAUUAUUGGUGAUCUUUAGAUUUUCCUUUGUACUUUUUUUUUUAAUUUUUCAAAUUGUGGCACUUGGGAUAUUAAUAAUGGUUUUUUAAAACUAGGCAAAGAGCUGAAAUUUUUGAGGUUUAUUUUUAAUGUGUUGGUUUUAAUCAAUACAAGACACAGUGUACCAAGCAAAGAGCAGCAUGAUCUAAUUCGCAAGCUCAGGACGGCCUAGGCUCCUCUCAGUGCUCUCUUGUGCUAGGUGCUCAAUCAAUGUUUGCUGGUGAUGAAGAAACUGAAAUUAGUCACUCUGGAGCAGAGUCAUUUGGGGCAACAAAGUUAACUUUUUUGAAUCAAGUUCCUGUCUUCCAGGGUUGUAUUGAGGAGGAAGUGAAACAGAAUACAUGUAAAACCACCAGUCCUGGGUCUAGUGUAUAAUAGGUACUCCUACCACUUCAUUUCAGAGGGGAAGAUAAGAUUAUUAGCACCUUGUCCUAGAUAAGUAGUAGGGAUAUAUUGUUUUAUUUAUUCUGAAGAACAGAAAAACAAUAUGAUCAGAGAGCCAGUAAAAAAAGAAAAAGCCUCAGAUAGCCUGUAAGGGUGUUACGGAGAAACACAAGAGGGGGAAGAGAAAGGUCAGAGACACAAACAUAAAUAGAGAGAAAAGACAAGACAGAAAAGGCCUAGAGAUCAUAAGAAUCUGGAAUAGUUAGGGCUUCUGCUGGCUUAUGAGUAAGAGUGCAGGAAAUCUGUGCCCCCAAAUUUUAAAUGUCUUAUAAUAACAAGAAAUAAAUGGCAUAUACACCUGCUUCUUUCAGUAACCAUUACAGGAUACUAAACUCAUCACUGACCUUGUAAUAGCUGUCUCCCCAAAAGGGCUGACCACAAAUGGCAGAGUAAUUGAAUAAAAAAAAAUUUGUGUGUGUUUUUAGGGCUGCACCUGCGGCACAUGGAGGUUUGGUGCUAAAAAGACAAAAGACAAAGAAAAAAUUUGAAUGUGACUUUGAAAACCCAUGGUUACCAAAGGAGACAGGAUGGGGGGUGGGGGUGGGAGGGAUGGGCUGGGUGUUUGGCAUGAAAAUGUUGUAAAAUUAGGUUGUGAUGAUGGUUGUACAACUAUAAAUACAACACAAUUCAUUGAGUUAAAAAAAAGAAUUUGACUGUGUAAUGUCAGGAAGCCUAGAAUACUUUAAAUAUAUCUCUUCAGGACUUACCCUCGUGGCGCAGUGGUUAAUGAAUCCGACUAGGAACCAUGAGGUUCUGGGUUCAGUCCCUGCCCUUGCUCAGUGGGUUAAGGAUCCAGGGUUGCCGUGAACUGUGGUGUAGGUUGCAGACACAGCUCAGAUCUGGGGUUGCUGUGGCUGCGGUGCAGGCCGGCAGCUACAGCUCUGAUUAGACCUCUAGCCUGGGAACCUCCAUAUGCCACAGGUAUGGCCCUAGAAAAGACAAAAAAAUAAAAAAUUAAAAAAUUAAAAAACAUCUCUUCAAGUGCUUGUGAUAGCUAGCCAGGUUUAGGGACUCCUGGCCUGUACAUGGGGCACCAUCUGUCCCAUCUGCCAGGGCAGUCCCAGAGUAAUUACUAGCAGAGACCCUCUCUCACAAAAAUCUCUCUGCAGAGAGGAGCAUCAUGUGUUCUCCUGCCUGCACCUCACCCCUCCCUGAAGGCUCGCUCACCGAAGGUGCUGGCCACUUGACUUCCCCCCCACAGUGAUGGCCUUGUAGCAUCUCUUCCACUCCAUGACUGAAGAUAAGACUUAGGGAAAAAACUACCCCUCGAUCUUAAAUUCACAUGAAAAUAUCCCCCAAGAGUGGAAUUCUUCCUGAGAAUGGGCUCUGACAAGUGAAGAAGAUAAAGCCUAACUCUAAGUGGGGAAAGAGAAUAGGAAGCCUGGGGCAUCUCAAAGACAGUUGCUUCUGCUCCCUCACAAUUUGGUCCAAGUCAGUGGAGAGAGCCAGAAGUGAGCACGAAUUCUACUUUAUGUCCUGGUUACUUAAAAGCUUUUGUUCAUUUCUCCUGUACCUCGUUUUGGUCCUCAAUUUCUCAGAGUCAAAAUAAGAAAAUCAUUUGAUAGUGAGGCCAUAUUGCACCUGAAAUGCUGAGAAACCAAUCAAUGCUCUCCAUUGAGUUAAUGUGUCAUCCAAUUUUGAGUGUUACCUUGUUCUGGUUUAAUCCUGACCUGUUAAAUAGUAAACAUCAUGUCAAAUAAGGGCAGGUGAAGAUAAAAAUGAUAAUGGGAGCGUUCUUAAAAGCAUUCACAUUGUAAAAUGUAAGAGAAAAUAUUUUCAGUUACAAGCCUUAUAAUAGUCCAGUGUUCCCUGUUAUAUAUCUGCCACUACAUCCCUGGGUUACCCACUUUCUUGCAGCACCAGACAGCUCUCUUUGUCCAUAUACUCCAGAUAUUUUCAUCCUUCCUGUCUUGAAAGGAAGAUGAAAGUUAAUAUUCAAGCUCCCAAAUGACAAAUGUAAAAAUCUGGUUUUCAUUACUUUCCGUCCAAACUGUGACUCUACUUCUAAAACUAAUUAAAUAAGAAAAUCACUUUCAAAUUUUCUCUGACAAGUUU